Tachysurus fulvidraco (yellow catfish) is the source of this 3183-nucleotide long non-coding RNA. RefSeq lists it as uncharacterized. Lineage: Eukaryota; Metazoa; Chordata; Actinopteri; Siluriformes; Bagridae. The transcript has 6 exons. The record is from RefSeq and is a predicted model, not a curated record.
UGUAGAGAUCGGUGUAGAAAUGUUCAGCACCGGCGAACAUCAGUCGGCUUUUAAAAAUAGUCUGCGUGCAGAUAGAAAUGCCGCUGGCCUUUUGUGCGCGCGCACAGCCAAUGAGCGCGGAGCUGGUUGCUCAGAGCGCGCGCGCGUUUCUCCCCUUUCUGCCCAACUCUGACCUUGAGGGAGACAAUAAAAGAGGGUCAGAGCGCGCGCCUGGGGCAAGCCGAGCCACCGUGAGCCUUCCACAGGCUGUUCAUGAGAGAGAGGGGACAUACUUUCCGAAGUGUUAUACAUGCUCUCUGACCUGGAUAUGUGUGCUGUGAAAUGUGUGCAGGUGUUUUAAGGACCAGUUUCGCGUCCCGGAGUGUUUACUUGCGUCCAGCUUUAUGGAGCUGAUUGAGUUCUUCGAGAGCGCGCACAAGCAACCUGGGCCUGUGCACGCGCACGCGCAGGGAUUGGACGGUACUGUCUCAUCAAUCUGCGUCUCAAGCAGUGCAUCUCGUUUGGAAGCACAUAACAAAAAAAAUUGUACUGAAAAACAGCAUUGCUUAGUGAUGAAUGACUUGCAGAAAUACCUUGUGGAAUUCAAUGCCAGAAAAGAUGCAGGUCUGGAUCCCUGAUCAGUUGGAAGCCACAAUGUGGAGAUGAAAACAAAUCAGAUGUAAAGAAGAUGGAAGAAUUAUAUUGAUAAGAAAUUCACAGAACCUCCUCAUGGCUGUUCGGUGUGACAGGGAACCAUAACAAAUGGCUACCAGUCUACACUACUGCUGACAUCUCAGAUUUUCAGAAGCUCAGAUGCUUGAAAUUAUAUCUGCUUCAUUGCUGACAAUGCACACCAUGACUUGCUAGAAUUUUUGAGCAGUUGUACAUCAGUUUCACAACUGACAAACUUAAGCAGGGUUUUUUUAACCAGCACAUGUUCAUCUUGGAGCAAAAGGAAUAUAACAGGUGGCACUGAAUGGACUUUAUUGACGUUGGCUUAGACCUACAUUGACCUCAUUGACUAGGAGAAUCCUAACCUAAUGGCCAACCAGAUGAGCACUCGGUCUAACUUUGUAUGCUGCAGCAUUUGUGAAAUGCAGACCUACUGAAACUUGCACCCUGCAUCUACUAUUCCAAAGGACAAAUCGGACAGUGGGACAAUGAGACAAUGAGACUGUAGAGAAACUUCUAAGUUUGCUGUAUACUAACCACAUGCAAUACAGGUUAGCCAACACAAUGGUUAAAACAUCUUAAUCUGUUCUUUCUCCCUUCUAUAAUUUCUUCACCCUGAGUUCAUGACUCUGUUCCUCCUCAUCUGCUUGAUCACACAGAAGAUAUGAGCGAUAAGCAGAUAACAAAGAUUACCGGCAUGCUGUAGUAAUUCUGCUUAUGAUGAUUAAGGAAAAUAAUAAGCCUUCAAGUAUUUUUUGCAUACUUAAGUCAAAAUUAUUAACUGGUACCUUUUUUUUUUAUCAAAGUGCUUAAGAGUUGAAUGUGUUUUUGUAUGGCUGCAAUUUUAAGGAGGUAUGAGAGGAAUGUGUGAGGUAUGUUUAGCCUGUGAUGUGGCGUGUGUCCAACAUGUGUCCACAAACGCGUCCAUGAUUGUGUGUGGCCCCUUUGCAAGAAGCCUGUUAAACCCCUUCUACCCCAAAUAGCAUUGGCAAAAGCAGGUGUGGUGGUGGGUCAUGUGGUGGCUCAAAGGAACCCCGUGCCAGUUGUUGAGUAUUCUUUCCCAGUAUGACCCCCAUCCCCACAUUAUAAAUAACCCUCACUGCUUUGUUAGGAAUAGUUGCUGUCAAUAGCAUACACAUUGCUGAGAUACCAGCUCAGGUGAUUGAGGAUUAAGUCCUCUUGUUUCACCAUUGAGUUGGGUUGCAGAUAAUCAACAACCUCUCUCCAACCUCUGACUGAGUGUCUCUGAUUGUCAUGCCAUGCCAGCAAUGCGGAAUUGAUUUACUUUCCAGGCAUGUCUAGUGUCACCAUGGGCUUACUGAUAUAGAACACAAGACACAAUGGCGUGUGCUAGUCUGACCCUAUUUGGUGCUGGCCUCGCUGAGCUAAUUUAGAACAAUGGGGAGGAGGGAUUGAGUUCCACUAUCAAAAAGGAGGCUCUCACUCCUAAACUUGUACUCAAAUGAAAAGGAAGAAUACUUACUGCCAAAUUCUGUAAAUGUAAACGUACUGCAUACUAAUACAUUUAUAGGACUUGGAUUGAUCCUUUAUUUUUAUGCACUGUUUGCACUAGUUUGCCCACUAUGCACUUUCUGUGGCUAGGACAACUACUUUGUAGCACCAUAGUCUUGGAGGAACAUUGUUUUAUUUCAGUAUGUACUGUGUCAGGUAUACAUGGUUGAAAUGACAAUAAAAAACUUGUCCUUUUUCCUAAAGAAAGCAGAGACCUCGGGAUGUGGAUUGGUUAAGUAGGCAAGACAGUCCAUUAGAGCAAAUGUAAAAAUCUCUGGAUUAAGAGCGACAUCCAGGCACACUGGAUGAGCCUUUUGUUUGAAGUGGAUGAAGAUUGUGUAGAAAGGCCUAAUUGAGAUUUUUAUUUUAUUUUAAGAGGAAAACAAAUUGAGAAUUGAGCUGUAAUGUGAAAACGACUAUAUUAACUACAAUGGAGGGUUGGUUCAAUCCAAAAUCAACAUAGAUAUGUAUCCUCUUUAUAUAUUAUCUAUACGUAUGCAAGUUACAUAAAGGCCAAGUAGCAUGAAAAAAAUAAAGGCAAUGGAGCUCGAUGGGUAUAUAGUCAUCUGUAUGAUGUGGCAGUAACAGAUCACCAUAACAGCUGGUUCUUGAUCUGGAAAAGGUCCAAAUAGAUAUUGAACAAAUUGGCCAAAAUGUGCAAAACCUGGUGGAAUGAAAGUACAAGACCAUCCUGGACUAUUUCAGAAAGAUUUACCACAGUGCAGCACAGAGCAGAUAUGGACGAGUAUCUUGCAAAACAACUGUGCCUUUUCACGAAACAGGCACAUUGUUCAGCCAUGAUUGCCUAUAUUUAGAGUAGGUGACUUCACACAGUGAUGAAGCAUGCUCCUGAUUAAAUUUUUGGUUUUCACUUUGCUCUAUCCUAGAGAUUUCAUAUAGUAACAUGAUGUUAUUCAAAACUCGCAGAUGUUUCGAUGGCUGCCUGAGUACAAAAAUGACAAAGUUUUAAAUAAAGCAAAAUUAAAGAGAAUUAUUGGUGUGAUGUAUAUAUGUAAUAUG